AUCAACUACAAGUUCCACAAAUCCUGACUGUGCUGCUUGGAGCAAUAAUCCUGAUACUCUCUGUUUUAACUGCAACUCAUGCAAGGCUGGACUGUUAGAUAACAUCAAGAGGGACUGGAAGAAAGUAGCUGUUGUGAACAUAAUAUUCCUUGUGUUCCUAAUCAUUGUGUACUCUGUUGGAUGCUGCGCUUUCAGGAACAACAGAAGCGAUAAUGCUUAUUUUUCUGGAUGGAAGCAGCAACCUUGAGUGUUUCUAACUAGUAUGAAUAGGGACAUCUAUGUAGGAUUUUGUUAUUGCUAUUAGUUUCACGCAACUAUGCUUUCUUUUUUUUAGGGGGUCGGAACCAUUCUCUGUAUUUGCUGCUUAGUUUGUUAUUAAUGUGUGUUGGCU
RNAcentral lists this long non-coding RNA (391 nucleotides) under Manihot esculenta (cassava). RNAcentral describes it as "long non-coding RNA (MESC_LNC008705)". The record is from RNAcentral. Lineage: Eukaryota; Viridiplantae; Streptophyta; Magnoliopsida; Malpighiales; Euphorbiaceae.